GGGGGGCCUAAUACAUGCAAGUCGAAGCUGGACAAGAAAGGGAACUUUGCCUCCCGGAUGUUAGCGGCGGACGGGUGAGUAACACGUGGGUAACCUGCCUGUAAGACUGGGAUAACUCCGGGAAACCGGAGCUAAUACCGGAUAGUUCCUUGAACCGCAUGGUUCAAGGAUGAAAGACGGUUUCGGCUGUCACUUACAGAUGGACCCGCGGCGCAUUAGCUAGUUGGUGAGGUAACGGCUCACCAAGGCGACGAUGCGUAGCCGACCUGAGAGGGUGAUCGGCCACACUGGGACUGAGACACGGCCCAGACUCCUACGGGAGGCAGCAGUAGGGAAUCUUCCGCAAUGGACGAAAGUCUGACGGAGCAACGCCGCGUGAGUGAUGAAGGUUUUCGGAUCGUAAAGCUCUGUUGUUAGGGAAGAACAAGUGCAAGAGUAACUGCUUGCACCUUGACGGUACCUAACCAGAAAGCCACGGCUAACUACGUGCCAGCAGCCGCGGUAAUACGUAGGUGGCAAGCGUUGUCCGGAAUUAUUGGGCGUAAAGGGCUCGCAGGCGGUUUCUUAAGUCUGAUGUGAAAGCCCCCGGCUCAACCGGGGAGGGUCAUUGGAAACUGGGAAACUUGAGUGCACAAGAGGAGAGUGGAAUUCCACGUGUAGCGGUGAAAUGCGUACAGAUGUGGAGGAACACCAGUGGCGAAGGCGACUCUCUGGUCUGUAACUGACGCUGAGGAGCG
Molecule: ribosomal RNA, 737 nt
Filed under: Bacillus pumilus
Lineage: Bacteria; Bacillati; Bacillota; Bacilli; Caryophanales; Bacillaceae
Description: bacterial SSU rRNA
Rfam family: Bacterial small subunit ribosomal RNA
Source: RNAcentral